Molecule: ribosomal RNA, 250 nt
Filed under: uncultured bacterium
Lineage: Bacteria
Description: partial 16S ribosomal RNA
Rfam family: Bacterial small subunit ribosomal RNA
Source: RNAcentral
UACGGAGGGUGCAAGCGUUAUCCGGAUUCACUGGGUUUAAAGGGUGCGUAGGUGGCUUUGUAAGUCAGUGGUGAAAUCUCGGAGCUUAACUCCGAAACUGCCAUUGAUACUGCUUAGCUUGAAUCAGGUAGAGGUGGAUGGAAUAUUACAUGUAGCGGUGAAAUGCUUAGAUAUGUAAUAGAACACCGAUUGCGAAGGCAGUUCACUAUGCCUGCAUUGACACUGAGGCACGAAAGCGUGGGGAUCAAAC